Molecule: ribosomal RNA, 413 nt
Filed under: bacterium enrichment culture clone ALO1_GLFRUDD03FN41G
Lineage: Bacteria
Description: bacterial SSU rRNA
Rfam family: Bacterial small subunit ribosomal RNA
Source: RNAcentral
GAGUUUGAUCAUGGCUCAGAUUGAACGCUGGCGGCAUGCCUUACACAUGCAAGUCGAACGGCAGCACGGGAGCUUGCUCCUGGGUGGCGAGUGGCGAACGGGUGAGUAAUGCAUCGGAACGUAUCCUGGAGUGGGGGAUAACGUAGCGAAAGUUACGCUAAUACCGCAUAUUCUGUGAGCAGGAAAGCGGGGGACCUUCGGGCCUCGCGCUCUUGGAGCGGCCGAUGUCGGAUUAGCUAGUUGGUGAGGUAAAGGCUCACCAAGGCGACGAUCCGUAGCAGGUCUGAGAGGAUGAUCUGCCACACUGGAACUGAGACACGGUCCAGACUCCUACGGAGGCAGCAGUGGGGAAUUUUGGACAAUGGGGGCAACCCUGAUCCAGCCAUGCCGCGUGAGUGAAGAAGGCCUCGGUU